CGGAGCAGCUGGGACUGCUGGCGCCCGCCACUACGCUCGGCUAAUUUUUUUGUGUUUUUAGUAGAGACGGGCUUUCACCGUGUUGGCCUAGCGGUUCUCCAACUCCUGACCUCAUGAUCCCCCCGCCUCAGCCUCCCAAAGUGCUGGGAUUACAAGCGUGAGCCACCGCGACCCGCCAACACUCUUGACAACAGUGCUGUGCUAAGAACUUGGGGGACUUCAAAAAGUUCACCAGUUCCUGUGUCCAUGGGUGAAAAGAUUUUCUACAUCUUUCCUUGACUAGAAACAGAAGUCCUGAAACAAGAAUAUAACGUCAGGAGGCCAGAGGCUUUGUCCUGCCUAAUGUGUUAUUUCCACACUGAAUAAAAGCACCUGAGUCCUGAUGGAGUCUCACUCUCUCGCUGUCAGGCUGGAGUGGAGUGCAGUGGAACAAUCUCGGCUCACUGCAACCUCCGCCUCCUGAGUUCAAGCGAUUCUCCUGCCUCAGCCUCCCAAGUAGCUGGGACUACAGACGCCCACCACCAUGACCAGCUAAUUUUUGUGUUUUUAGUAGAGAUGGAGUUUGACCAUGUUGGCCAGGAUGGUCUCGAUCUCUUGACCUCGUGAUCUGCCGGCCUUGGCUUCCCAAAGUGCUGGGAUUACAGGCAUGAGCCACCACUCCUGGCAGAUUUAAGAAGUUUUAACAUAGGUCUGCAUCCAACAAACUAUCACCACAGUCAGAAUAAUGAACAUAAUCCAGCAUGACGUGAGGGAGGAAACAUCAAUCUAAACAUUUUCUCAUGCCAUUUUUGAAUCUAAUUUUUUGUUCUUUAACUUUUCAGAGACUGAAUAAUCAACUUUUGUAAUUUCUCGUGUAAGUCUACAUUAUCCAAGAAAAUCUUAAUAGAUCAAAUGGUGCAAUUCUGAUGGACAUAGGUAGAUUUAGCAGACCUCACUAUGCCAACAGAAUCUUCCUUUACUUAACUUGGACUCUUUAUCUUCUCUUUUGCCCUUUCUUCUUGUUCUCAUUCUUGUUCUUGUUGUUGUUGUUCUUCACUUUCUCACUCUUCUCUUCCACUGCUUUUUGUUCCUCUUCUUCUCUCCUCUUCUUCUUAUUCCACUUUUUCUUUCUCUAUCUUCUCUGCCCACCUUCCAUUCUGGCCUUUUGUCUGUCCACCAUCCAUUCAUUACACCUUCAGCCUGGCUAUCUCCAGAACAACAAACCAAACCUCUUUCUAUAUUGACAUAGUUUGGAUUUGUGUCCCUGCCCAAUUUUCAUGUCAAAUUUUAAUCUCCAGUGUUGGAGGAGGGGCCUAGUGAGGGGUGACUGGAUCAUGGGGCCAGAUUUUCCCCUUGAUGUUCUUGUGAUAGUGAGUUCUCACGAGAUCUGGUUGUUUAAAAGUGUGUAGCACCCGCCGCCUUCAUUCUCUCUUCCUCCCGCUCCAGGCAUGUAAGAUGUACCUGUUUUCCCUUUGCCUUCUGCCAUGAUUGAAAGUUUCCCGAGGCCUCUCCAGCUAUGCUUCCUGUAUAGCCUGCAGAACCAUGAGCCAAUUAAACCUCUUUUCUUUGUAAAUUACCCAGUCCCAGGUAUUUCUUUAUAGCAGUGGGAGAAUUGACUAAUACAUAUAUUUUAUACUGUAAGAAUAGUAGGUGCUCAAAUCUAUUUCCAAAAGAUAAAUUAAAAGUACCAUGCUUCCCAGAAACAAGCACUCCUAAUACUAUUUUGAACAAAUGGUGUCAUUCUCUAUACACAGUUCUGCAACAAGCUUUGCUUGUUUCACAAUAUCUUGUACACUUAUGUUUGUCACAAUAAAUACAGCUAUGUCAUUUAUAAUUUUAAAAUAGCUGAAUAGUGUUCAUCAAUUUUGUGUCAAAUAACUUUUUGCAUUAAACAAAGCUGCUACUAAUAUAUUAAACAUAUAUCUGUAUGCAUAUAUCUAUUGUAUCCAAUUCAAACCCCUCUUGAAUUACAGUAGAAAUAUUAUAUAUUUCUUUAGAGAUAUGGCAGAUUUUUCUCUCAAAGAUGUUGUACAAAUGUUUAACAAUAUUUGUGAAGAAUAUGCAGUAUUCCAUCAUUUCAAAAAUAUUGAAC
This 2071-nucleotide long non-coding RNA is filed under the name Homo sapiens (human). RNAcentral's name for it is "HSALNT0376079". The record is from RNAcentral. Lineage: Eukaryota; Metazoa; Chordata; Mammalia; Primates; Hominidae.